RNAcentral lists this ribosomal RNA (482 nucleotides) under uncultured bacterium. RNAcentral's name for it is "bacterial SSU rRNA". It matches the Rfam family "Bacterial small subunit ribosomal RNA", at positions 28 to 507 of the family's 1533-position model. The record is from RNAcentral.
GACGAACGCUGGCGGCGUGCCUAAUACAUGCAAGUCGAGCGGGGUUGUCGGAGUGGAGUCCUUCGGGAUGAAGCACCGUCAACCUAGCGGCGGACGGGUGAGUAACGCGUGGGUAACCUGCCCUAAAGCCCGGGAUAACACCGGGAAACUGGUGCUAACACCGGAUACCUUCCGAAGAGGGCAUCCUUUUUGGAAGAAAGGUUAACGCUUUAGGAUGGGCCCGCGUCCCAUUAGCUAGUUGGUGAGGUAACGGCUCACCAAGGCAGUGAUGGGUAGCCGGCCUGAGAGGGUGGACGGCCACACUGGGACUGAGACACGGCCCAGACUCCUACGGGAGGCAGCAGUAGGGAAUAUUGCGCAAUGGGCGAAAGCCUGACGCAGCGACGCCGCGUGGGUGAUGAAGGCCUUCGGGUUGUAAAACCCUGUCCUUGGGGAAGAAGGAAGUGACGGUACCCAAGGAGGAAGCCCCGGCUAAUUACGUG